CGCUACGAAGCUAAUAAAGGGCCCAGCAUUAGCCUUUUAAGCUAAAAACAGGUGACUCCCGCCCACCCUUAGCGA
Molecule: transfer RNA, 75 nt
Filed under: Bovichtus angustifrons
Lineage: Eukaryota; Metazoa; Chordata; Actinopteri; Perciformes; Bovichtidae
Description: tRNA-Lys
Source: RNAcentral